UUGCUCUUCAACGAGGAAUUCCUAGUAAGCGCAAGUCAUCAGCUUGCGUUGACUACGUCCCUGCCCUUUGUACACACCGCCCGUCGCUACUACCGAUUGAAUGGCUUAGUGAGGACUUGGGAGAGUACAUCGGGGAGCUGGCAACAGCACCCUGACGGCUCAAACUCUUACAAACUUGGUCAUUUAGAGGAAGUAAAAGUCGUAACAAGGUAUCUGUAGGUGAACCUGCAGAUGGAUCAUUUCGAUGAAAACCUUUUUUCUGAGGUGUGGCUCGCACCUGUCCAACUAAACUGGGCUACCAUUUUCAACACGGUUGCAUCGGUUGGGCCUGUCAAGGAGUGCCAUUUUGGCGCUUCGAGACGGACUCGACACUUUACACAAAACACUUUUGAUGAUCUAGGAUUUGAAUGAAAGUUCAUUUUUUAUGAUGGAACCGACUGGUAAUGCGGUCGUCUAAAUCUAAGAAACAACUUUUGGCAACGGAUCUCUUGGUUCUCCCAUCGAUGAAGAACGCAGCGAAUUGCGAUAAGUAAUGUGAAUUGCAGAAGUGAAUCAUCGAAUCUUUGAACGCACCUUGCGCUCCCGGCAGAUCUAAUCUGGGGAGCAUGCCUGUUUGAGGGCCGCGAAUUGUUUCGAACGUCGACUUUUUUCACGAAGAGUCAACGGAUCGGUAUUGAGGGUCUUUGCCAUUCACCGUGGCUCCCUCGAAAUGCAUUAGCGCAUCCAUUUGAUAGGCAAGACGGACGAAAGCUCGACUUUUGUUUCCUCUUUCCUGCCGGGUUUUGAUAAUAUCAGGACUUCGGAGGCAGAGAGGAAACGUGAGCUGGACGUAACGUUUUGCUGGUUGGAGUGCUUCUGAACCCCGCCUUUUUUCGUUAGGAAAGAGGAUUUAUUUUCAAUUCAUCGGCCUCAGAUUGGUAGGGCUACCCGCUGAACUUAAGCAUAUCAAUAAGCGGAGGA
Molecule: ribosomal RNA, 960 nt
Filed under: uncultured fungus
Lineage: Eukaryota; Fungi
Description: eukaryotic LSU rRNA
Rfam family: Eukaryotic small subunit ribosomal RNA (bases 1-242)
Source: RNAcentral